UACGUAGGGAGCAAGCGUUGUUCGGAUUUACUGGGCGUAAAGGGCGCGUAGGCGGCGCGGUAAGUCACUUGUGAAAUCUCUGAGCUUAACUCAGAACGGCCAAGUGAUACUGCAGUGCUAGAGUGCAGAAGGGGCAAUCGGAAUUCUUGGUGUAGCGGUGAAAUGCGUAGAUAUCGAGAGGAACACCUGCGGCGAAGGCGGGUUGCUGGGCUGAUACUGACGCUGAGGAGCGAAAGCGUGGGGAGCGAACAGG
RNAcentral lists this ribosomal RNA (253 nucleotides) under uncultured bacterium. Its description in RNAcentral is "partial 16S ribosomal RNA". It matches the Rfam family "Bacterial small subunit ribosomal RNA", at positions 524 to 776 of the family's 1533-position model. The record is from RNAcentral.